Molecule: transfer RNA, 71 nt
Filed under: Fusarium mangiferae
Lineage: Eukaryota; Fungi; Ascomycota; Sordariomycetes; Hypocreales; Nectriaceae
Description: tRNA-Arg
Rfam family: tRNA
About the family: Transfer RNA (tRNA) molecules are approximately 80 nucleotides in length. Their secondary structure includes four short double-helical elements and three loops (D, anti-codon, and T loops).
Source: RNAcentral
GGGAUAUUAGUUUAAUGGUAAAACAAGAUGCUUCGGUCAUCUUUGUUGUAGUUCAAGUCUGCAGUAUCCUU